CCUUUGUGUCCAAGGAGGUUUUCAUGUCUCUGCAACUGCCCUUUGCUUAUGGGAAGUGAUUAUCUUGAUAAGGCAGAUUUUCUCCAGGAAAGCGUGCUGCCUCUCUCUCAUACUUCUUGACAUCAUUCUUUCAAAGGAGAAUAAAGAAGCAGCCAUACAUCUCUGCCAUUGAGUUAGGUCGUCCGUCUGCACCAAGGGACAGAGCGUGUCAAGCGAGCUGUGCGAGUGCAAGAGCUCAGAGUGCAGAACCCUGAAUCUAAGUGAAUUUCCUGUUGCGCUAGAGGCUGAGAAAGCCAUCGGAGAGCCGCAGACAAGCGUUAGAAAGCCAGAGCAGCGCCACGCGAGCGUGGACAUGGUACCGGAGGGAUCGAUUCGGAGCCACGAGCGAACGGUAAUCAGCUGUGACGUUUCCUAAUCCGGUUGUCGUAGGGAGAUUUCACCUAGUGCCUGCCCGCG
This 456-nucleotide long non-coding RNA is filed under the name Struthio camelus australis. Its description in RNAcentral is "lncRNA (ENSSCUG00000013994.1)". Lineage: Eukaryota; Metazoa; Chordata; Aves; Struthioniformes; Struthionidae. The record is from RNAcentral.